RNAcentral lists this transfer RNA (68 nucleotides) under Ectomomyrmex javanus. RNAcentral describes it as "tRNA-Gln". The record is from RNAcentral. Lineage: Eukaryota; Metazoa; Arthropoda; Insecta; Hymenoptera; Formicidae.
UAUAUAUUAAUGUUUAAGCAUGAAAAUUUUUGAAAUUUUAUGAAAUAGAUAAAAUUUAUUAUAUAUAA